AUGCGCGGUAUUACGGACAGCAGUACGCAUGCGCGAGCUUCGAGACGGAAGUACGCAUGCGCGAGAUUACGGACGGCAGUACGCAUGCGCGACAUUAUACACAACUGUACGCAUGCGCGACAUUAUAGACGGCAGUACGCAUGCGCGAGCUUCCAGACGGUAGUACGCAUGCGCGACAUUACUGACAGCACUACGCAUGAGCGAGCCCCGAGACGGCAAUACGCAUGCGCGAGCCGCGAGACGGCAGUACGCAUGCGCGAGUUUCGAGACGGCAGUACGCAUGCGCAACAUUAUAGACGGCAGUGGCAGCAGAUACCGUGGCAACAACAACUCCGCCGCCUUUUAGCGGACUGCCUGGGACCGUGGGCGCGCAUCCCCUUCUCUCUUUCUUUUCUUGGCAGAGGAUGGUGGGGGGAAGAAGGGGAGACGACAAAGAAAAGCAAGGAAAACUUCGACAAACCCUCCAACCCCGUGCUAAAUGCUUUGGUAUACCUGUAAAUAAAUGAAUACAUAACCAGCAAGUUGUUGUUGUCAUGCCUUUUUUUUUUUUUAAUAUGUGUAUGUGUAUACAUUUAUAUAUACACAUGUAUAUACAUAUUUCAGCCAGCAUCUGAGGUGAUGAAAAAACAUGGUAUGAAUUGCACGCAGUGAAGCCAAGGGUGCCUUGGAACAAUUAACA
RNAcentral lists this long non-coding RNA (679 nucleotides) under Gallus gallus (chicken). The record is from RNAcentral. Lineage: Eukaryota; Metazoa; Chordata; Aves; Galliformes; Phasianidae.